GGCAACGUCGCUCGCUUCGCUUCGAUGCGCAGCGAACAAUGUUGCCAGAUCGUUGGUUAGCCCAGUUUUACACCAUUAUCCUAGUGGAAGUUGGUUUUAAUCUAUGAUUAGUACUCUGCGGUGACAUCGGAUGGCGCUGUACGCAAGGUACAAUUUAAUAAGGUAGAGUUGCCCAUCUCUAUCCUUCCUUGUCUCUGAAAUGGCCGACGUCUUAAGUUGUCAUCAAACUCGUUGAAGAAAAAUAGAUUUAAAUAAAUGAACGUUAUUCAAGAAAACUAAUAAAUCUUUACCCACAAGUUAUGUUAAAUAAGAAAAUAAAAUUAUCAUCCGACUCACUGCGAAAAAGAAAGGAUUGGAGUUCAAUGUGGUAUCUGGAUUAUGGAUUGUCUCUUGUGUUCGGGGCACUAACUAAUUUUCUGGAUUGUCUACAGGAUUCUUCUUACGGGAAAUUGAACUGCUUGUUCUUCGGAAAUAGGGUCUUGGAUGAUCGGAAGAUUCUCUUUUUAUUUUAAUAUCACAUACAUUGGAGUACACGCCAAAUUUCAACAAUGAGUAAAGUUAGAAAAAUUCAAAUUCAAAUCAAGGAUUUCUUCCUCAAAUUAACGUUAAAACCUCAAAAGAUGGAUGAAAAAUGUGCUUUAGGAGCUGAACUAUAAUAAUUGAUACUUUUGGAAGCAAACAAAACGGUUUAAGAUAAGAUUUUCACCAACAAAAAAUCUCUCUGUCACAAUUUCUAGGUUAUGUUCUCUCGGUGAACUAAGAGAAUGUUAAAAUUAUCACAGUAUUUAUAAAAGGGGUAUUUAUCUGGGUAUUUACCCCGAUUCAGGGUAAAUACCCAAACAGUACACAUAAAAGUGAUACAAGUAAAAAUAUAACAGAUUCGGACAAAAAUGUAGAGGAACAUGAUGAAGUGAGCGUUGAAGACGAGGAAUUGUCAACGAUCGAAGACGUAUUAUUAUCAGGUAACCACUUGAGCUUUGCCACAAUGUUGACCGCAUC
Onthophagus taurus is the source of this 999-nucleotide non-coding RNA. The record is from RefSeq and is a predicted model, not a curated record. Lineage: Eukaryota; Metazoa; Arthropoda; Insecta; Coleoptera; Scarabaeidae.